Molecule: ribosomal RNA, 274 nt
Filed under: uncultured bacterium
Lineage: Bacteria
Description: partial 16S ribosomal RNA
Rfam family: Bacterial small subunit ribosomal RNA
Source: RNAcentral
AUACGGAGGGUGCGAGCGUUAAUCGGAAUUACUGGGCGUAAAGCGCGCGUAGGCGGUUUGGUCAGUCGGAUGUGAAAGCCCUGGGCUCAACCCGGGAAUGGCAUUCGAUACUGCCUGACUAGAGUAUGGUAGAGGGAAGUGGAAUUUCCGGUGUAGCGGUGAAAUGCGUAGAUAUCGGAAGGAACACCAGUGGCGAAGGCGACUUUCUGGGCCAAUACUGACGCUAAGGUGCGAAAGCGUGGGGAGCAAACAGGAUUAGAAACCCCAGUAGUCC